Molecule: ribosomal RNA, 254 nt
Filed under: uncultured bacterium
Lineage: Bacteria
Description: partial 16S ribosomal RNA
Rfam family: Bacterial small subunit ribosomal RNA
Source: RNAcentral
UACGUAGGGUGCGAGCGUUGUCCGGAAUUAUUGGGCGUAAAGAGCUCGUAGGCGGUCUGUCGCGUCGGUCGUGAAAACUUGGGGCUUAACCCUGAGCUUGCGGUCGAUACGGGCAUGACUGGAGUUCGGCAGGGGAGACUGGAAUUCCUGGUGUAGCGGUGAAAUGCGCAGAUAUCAGGAGGAACACCGGUGGCGAAGGCGGCAUCCUGGACCGACACUGACGCUGAGGAGCGAAAGCCAGGGGAGCAAACGGG